RNAcentral lists this transfer RNA (64 nucleotides) under Dipodomys ordii (Ord's kangaroo rat). It matches the Rfam family "tRNA". From Rfam's summary of the family: Transfer RNA (tRNA) molecules are approximately 80 nucleotides in length. Their secondary structure includes four short double-helical elements and three loops (D, anti-codon, and T loops). Further hydrogen bonds mediate the characteristic L-shaped molecular structure. tRNAs have two regions of fundamental functional importance: the anti-codon, which is responsible for specific mRNA codon recognition, and the 3' end, to which the tRNAs corresponding amino acid is attached (by aminoacyl-tRNA synthetases). tRNAs cope with the degeneracy of the genetic code in two manners: having more than one tRNA (with a specific anti-codon) for a particular amino acid; and 'wobble' base-pairing, i.e. permitting non-standard base-pairing at the 3rd anti-codon position. Lineage: Eukaryota; Metazoa; Chordata; Mammalia; Rodentia; Heteromyidae. The record is from Rfam by way of RNAcentral.
GGUGGCUCAGUGGUAGAGCGCUUGCCUUGCAUGCCAGAGACCCUGGGUUCGUUCCUCAGCACCA